Long non-coding RNA from Gossypium arboreum, 516 nucleotides. RefSeq lists it as uncharacterized. The transcript has 2 exons. Lineage: Eukaryota; Viridiplantae; Streptophyta; Magnoliopsida; Malvales; Malvaceae. The record is from RefSeq and is a predicted model, not a curated record.
UAAGUACAUGUUAGUGUGUGAAUUUGAUGUUGCCAUAGAAGGGAAAAAUGAUCAGCAUGUCAUAAAACAUAAGAAAAUAGGAUGAAGUUUAAUUUACGAGCCUUGGGGCAAAAGUGCAAAUAUGUGAAAGUUUAGGGGCAAAAAUGUAAUUUUGCCAAAGUUUGAGUAAAGGGUUGUUUUGAUAAAUGUUGAUAUUAAAUAAGCUAAAUUUGCUAUUAUAGAUCAAGAAGAGCGAAAUUCGAGAGUAGAUCGGGGAAAAGAAAAAGUAAAGGACUAAAUUGUAAAGUUUAGUCACAUUUUGUAUCGAGUACUUAUCUAGCCACUCGGGGAUCGAAGGAAACGUCGGAGGCCGAUCACACUAUCAAAGAAAUAACUCGGUAUAAUUAGACGUUUUGUUUUGUGUAUGGCAUGUAUAGAAACUUAGCCACUUUUGGUAUAAUAUGAACAAUGAAUGAUGUGUAAAUACUUGCUAGUGAUUAGCUAAUAAAAAUGGCCGAUGAUAUGCAUGUUUAUUAA